Molecule: ribosomal RNA, 382 nt
Filed under: Faucicola osloensis
Lineage: Bacteria; Pseudomonadati; Pseudomonadota; Gammaproteobacteria; Moraxellales; Moraxellaceae
Description: bacterial SSU rRNA
Rfam family: Bacterial small subunit ribosomal RNA
Source: RNAcentral
UUUAGGAAUCUGCCUAGUAGUGGGGGAUAGCUCGGGGAAACUCGAAUUAAUACCGCAUACGACCUACGGGUGAAAGGGGGCGCAAGCUCUUGCUAUUAGAUGAGCCUAAAUCAGAUUAGCUAGUUGGUGGGGUAAAGGCCCACCAAGGCGACGAUCUGUAACUGGUCUGAGAGGAUGAUCAGUCACACCGGAACUGAGACACGGUCCGGACUCCUACGGGAGGCAGCAGUGGGGAAUAUUGGACAAUGGGGGCAACCCUGAUCCAGCCAUGCCGCGUGUGUGAAGAAGGCCUUUUGGUUGUAAAGCACUUUAAGCAGGGAGGAGAGGCUAAUGGUUAAUACCCAUUAGAUUAGACGUUACCUGCAGAAUAAGCACCGGCUAA